RNAcentral lists this ribosomal RNA (121 nucleotides) under Limtongozyma cylindracea. Lineage: Eukaryota; Fungi; Ascomycota; Pichiomycetes; Serinales; Debaryomycetaceae. The record is from RNAcentral.
AGCUACGGCCAUAUCUAGCAGUCAGCACCGUUUCCCGUCCGAUCAACAGUAGUGAAUCUGCUAAGAGCCUGACCGAGUAGUGUAGUGGGAGACCAUACGCGAAACUCAGGUGCUGUAGUUU